Molecule: ribosomal RNA, 419 nt
Filed under: uncultured bacterium
Lineage: Bacteria
Description: bacterial SSU rRNA
Rfam family: Bacterial small subunit ribosomal RNA
Source: RNAcentral
CGAACAGGUGAGUAACGCGUGGGUAACCUGCCUUAUAGCGGGGAUAACUACUGGAAACGAUAGCUAAUACCGCAUAACAAUAGAGAUUGCAUAUCUUUAUUUGAAAGUGCCAACUGGUACACUAUGAGAUGGACCCGCGUUGUAUUAGCUAGUUGGUAGUGUAAUGGACUACCAAGGCGAUGAUACAUAGCCGACCUGAGAGGGUGAUCGGCCACAUUGGGACUGAGACACGGCCCAAACUCCUACGGGAGGCAGCAGUAGGGAAUCUUCGGCAAUGGACGAAAGUCUGACCGAGCAACGCCGCGUGAGUGAAGAAGGUUUUCGGAUCGUAAAACUCUGUUGUUAGAGAAGAAUGUUGAUUAGAGUGGAAAAUUAAUCAAGUGACGGUAUCUAACCAGAAAGGGACGGCUAACUACGUG